AGCCUUUGUGUUGCCUGUUCACCUUUGGUCACUAAUGAAUGUGGUGUCAAAAAAGGCAUAAAUUAAUGCUUUGCAGCCGUUGCUUACCCAGGAGUUAAGCAUCUUGGGUGUAGGUGCUUUGUAAGUAACAAAA
Molecule: small nucleolar RNA, 133 nt
Organism: Phodopus roborovskii (desert hamster)
Lineage: Eukaryota; Metazoa; Chordata; Mammalia; Rodentia; Cricetidae
Product: small nucleolar RNA SNORA13
Exons: 1
Source: RefSeq, a predicted model, not a curated record